UUCCUGGUAGCUCAGAUGGUAAAGAAUCUGCCUGCAAUGCAGGAGGCCCAGGUUCGAUCUCUGGGUUGGGAAG
RNAcentral lists this transfer RNA (73 nucleotides) under Bos taurus (domestic cattle). It matches the Rfam family "tRNA". From Rfam's summary of the family: Transfer RNA (tRNA) molecules are approximately 80 nucleotides in length. The record is from Rfam by way of RNAcentral. RNAcentral also lists the same sequence under 4 other names. Lineage: Eukaryota; Metazoa; Chordata; Mammalia; Artiodactyla; Bovidae.